AUUAAACUGAAGAGUUUGAUCCUGGCUCAGAUUGAACGCUGGUGGCAUGCUUAACACAUGCAAGUCGAACGGUAACAGGUCUUAGGAUGCUGACGAGUGGCGGACGGGUGAGUAACGCGUAGGAAUCUGCCCAUUUGAGGGGGAUACCAGUUGGAAACGACUGUUAAUACCGCAUAAUAUCUGUGGAUUAAAGGUGGCUUUCGGGCUGUCGCAGAUGGAUGAGCCUGCGUUGGAUUAGCUAGUUGGUGGGGUAAGGGCCCACCAAGGCUACGAUCCAUAGCUGAUUUGAGAGGAUGAUCAGCCACAUUGGGACUGAGACACGGCCCAAACUCCUACGGGAGGCAGCAGUGGGGAAUAUUGGACAAUGGGGGCAACCCUGAUCCAGCAAUGCCAUG
RNAcentral lists this ribosomal RNA (395 nucleotides) under Francisella tularensis subsp. holarctica. Its description in RNAcentral is "bacterial SSU rRNA". It matches the Rfam family "Bacterial small subunit ribosomal RNA", at positions 1 to 401 of the family's 1533-position model. The record is from RNAcentral. Lineage: Bacteria; Pseudomonadati; Pseudomonadota; Gammaproteobacteria; Thiotrichales; Francisellaceae.